RNAcentral lists this unclassified non-coding RNA (416 nucleotides) under soil metagenome. RNAcentral describes it as "partial contains 5.8S ribosomal RNA, internal transcribed spacer 2, and large subunit ribosomal RNA". The stretch from base 1 to 120 matches the Rfam family "5.8S ribosomal RNA", at positions 35 to 154 of the family's 154-position model. The record is from RNAcentral.
GAUGAAGAACGCAGCGAAAUGCGAUAAGUAAUGUGAAUUGCAGAAUUCAGUGAAUCAUCGAAUCUUUGAACGCACCUUGCACUCCUUGGUAUUCCGAGGAGUACGCCUGUUCGAGUGUUAUGAAGCUCUCAAAACGCAAUUGGCUUAAAACCUGAUUGUUGUUUUGGAUUUGAACUUUGCCGUGUUAUAACGGCUGGUUUUAAAAGUAUUAGCUGGUACUAGAACGAAUUGGUUCUACUCAACGUGAUAAUUAUCUGAUCGUUGAGGACAUUCCUUUCACGAGGAAUGUCCAUAGUAAAUUCAAUGGACUGCUUCUAAUCUGGCUUUAAUUCUUUAUUGGAUUAACCACUUUUCAAAUCUGACCUCGAAUCAGGUGGGACUACCCGCUGAACUUAAGCAUAUCAAUAAGCGGAGGA